CAGGCCAUGGCGACGAUCUGCGGGGAAGGCCGGCUCCGUCAGACCCUUCGGAAACCCCAACAAAGCGCGCCGAGCGCCGCCCGCGCCUCCCCCGGCCCCGCUCACCUCGAAACUGUGCUUGACGAAGGACUUGGAGUAGAAGAAGCGGUGGAACAGCACCUGCCCGGUCGCCAUCGCCACCUGUGAGGGCAGAGAGGAGGCGGCCGUCAGCGCGCGCGCCCGCCGCCAUUUUGUGUCAGGCGCCACCGCCCCCCGCCACAAUGGCGCCCCCCCGGCGCGGCCCGGCCCGGCGCGGCCCCACCUGCGGCAGGCGCAGCAGGAUGCCGGCCGCCUGGAUCAGCUCGCAGCCCAGGAUGCGCAGGUACAGUCUCCAAAGCUGAGCAGUGAACUGCAUUGGCAGAGGAUGGGCAAAGCUGGAAUGAAGGUAACACCAGUUCUCCAAUAAACCUCAUGGGAGAAGAGCUGUAGGGUAUCCAGAAACCUCCAUCCUGGUGGGUAAGCGAACCACCUCCGUCCUGAACAUCCCCUGAGGAUUUUACAGUGCAUUCCUCGUCUCUUGCUGGUGAAGCCACUGCUGGUGUUGAGCUUUAAUGCCUUUAAGUCUGUACCACAAAAACGUCAGUGAGCCUUUCCUACCAUCUGAUCGUGUGUUGGAGAGCAGCAGUUUGGUGCAUUUUCAGAUUGGGCAUCGUGCUUAACGUCCUUUUGAUUCCAGCCUGUCUUCCAGCGUGUUCAAAACUCACACUUGCUUCUCCCAUUGAGUUGCAUCAAGAUAAAACAAGUGGAAUUUAUCAGAUCUUACCAUCACCAGACAACGCCGUGGAGGCAGCAGACAUUCAGAUGCAGAUCAGAGAGAGCGUUUCAUCUGCAUGCACGUUAUUUGACUGAAGUGAACUGGUUUGAGAACUGGCAUUAAAAUACCAACACUGGCAGUUAAUGCUCCAGCCUUUGAACAGCAGCAGGCAGCUUCAGAGGAAGGGCAGGGCUGGUGGCAGCACCACCACUGCUGUUUGCUCAUACAGCUCUGACUGCUCUCUGUACUCACCAUCCUCCAAGUAAAGACACAGGAGCCAAAUUGGCUCCAAGAAGCAGUUUCUGUUCACCCUGGCUCUGACUCAGCCCCCUCCAAGGGCCAGCAGUGCCACCUACCAGCUCUUGGAGUGGGGAAAUGAGCAACAAGUCUUGGUCUUAUCUGCACCGAGUGAUCACACCAUGCUUUUAGAAAGCAAUAUGCUUCGCAUGUGUGCUGGCACACACAUCUGCCUCAGCUCCAUCCUGGGAACAUUGCUGUCACUGAUAGCAUUUCCAUCUGGAAGUAGGAGAACUGGGAUAACAUCAAAUGGCAGAAAGUGAUAUAGAGCUUCGGGGAGGUGCCCUGAGCUCACAGCACAGCCCUGUGCUUCUCGCAGAUUAACACCACCAACCAGUUUGUAGCUGCAGGCAUGCGAGCAAAAAGGCAAAGGGUCAAAGCUCCAGCCUGGAAUAAAUCACAGUGAGCCACUAACACGCAGUGUGAGCAGAAACGAGCAGCAGGGGAGAUGGAAAAGAACAGGCUGUGUCCUGACAGGCAGACCUCAGCAAGACAGAUUUAGCUCUCGUUCAGCCAGGAGGAUAUUUGUCACUGCAAGGACAGGCCUGCAUUAUUUUUAGUGGAUGCAUCAUGAGUCCGCAGCUUUAAAGGACAGCGAAAGAAAGAUCAGCUUGUCUGGUGAGGGCUUAUCCUGUUCUCUCAGAGCACACACAGCCCUGAGAAGCCGAGGAAUGUGUCAGUACAUACAAGACACCAUGUGCUGCUUCAAGUACCACGCCUGCUUUUAUUGCUGCUAGCUGUGACACUAGCAGUCAGCAAACCCUGACAUCACACGUGCUGUCCUUACCCUGGGCCAUGCGCACAGCAGCGUGCCUGCAGGCUGAGCCCGACGGAGCACUUCCCGAUAAAACACACUGGAGUUUGAAAAAGAUGGUCUUGCUUUCUACCGGUCCACGUGGCCCCAGCUGUGACACGGCACUCAGCCCUGCAGUCACCUUGCUGCACAGCAGGAGAGGUGAUUCCCUCCUCUUGCCGCCAGCACUGUGUGCUGCAGCCACGCAGCAGAGCGAGGCCGUGCUGCUGGGUGCUGUGAGCUCAGGGAGGCUCCGUGCCGUGCUGGGAGCCGCAGAACCACAUCCUGCACGGGGCCUGAGCAAUAUCUGAUAGACUCACUGCGCCAGCUUGCAAACGUCUCGGUGCGAUCAGUGAGCAGCUUUGCCAGGUGUUUCCCCUACAGCCAGAUACAGUCAGCGCUGAGACGCUUCAUCUCACGUAAAUCAAGCGUAUCUGUCACCACUUUGUCCAUUUGCGUAUCGGAAUUGAUGGCUCAGGAAGAGCUGCGUGCCACCAGAGCACCUCCGAGUGCUGUGCCCGUGUUAGGUCAGGAGGGCUGCUGUGCGCCCUCCUGACCUGCAGCUGCUUGCUUGCAGUGGGUGCUCCCCUUUCCGAAGGGGCAGUGCGCCACCUAGCGGGCUGGAGCCGCACUGCAGGGGGGGUGCGGUGCUGCGGAGCACGGCCAGCCGAGGGACGGGGAAUUAAAGUGCUAACAUAUGGGCAGGAUGCUUUGUUUUACUGAGAUAACCAUCAGACGUCACCUCUGAUUGAUCGCGAGGUGCUUACAAAUAAAAGGAGCUGCCAACAACAAGCUAUCUGUCCUUGCAGCGCUGAGAAAACUGACCCAAACGCAAGCAGGGUGCACAAUGGGAAUAAGGGAUAGCAAGCAAGGAGCUCCCUCCAGAACUAUUAUCCAUCAGCCCACAGUGCUCGCUAGGACAGACAGCAGUGCAGGACCCUGGGCCAGGAGGGUCUCCAUGCUCUUUCCCAGAGUUCAAGUGAAAAACACUGAAGAAUGGCUUACAGAAGACAAGCUUUAUUACUGACCUUUUACCCAGCAGGAGGCAGCACUUCGUUACAAAAAAAUAACCCAAACCUCACAAUCAAAACUGGGAACGUUUUGCUGAUUGCCUGUCUCAGCAGCUGUGCAAAGCCUAUCUGCUUUUAGCUUCAAAUGUAAACGUGUUAUCAUUAGGGCUAGAAAAAAGGCUUUUGGACUUCAUUCUGAAGCAGAACAGAACUCAUGCUGGCUCUAUGCUGCCUCAAAUGGCACCAGACUUUUGUUUCGGUGUUACAGUGUAAUCAGUGGAAGUGAUCAGCAUGGUCAAUUAACUUCUUUUAAGCCUCUUUGUGUAUAUUAUUAUGUAUAUAUAUGUAUAAAUGUAUACUUCAUGCAGCUGCUGGUCAGGGUGCCCCAAGCACAGCUCCCCAUUUCAGUACAGCCUCAGUGCCCCCAGCAGCCCCCCUCCACCCAUGGUGGGUUUUCAAAGAGCCCAGGCAGGCCAUGCAGUGGCUCUCCCCAGGUGACUGCCCAGCUUUCAACCAACCAUUCAACCAUUUCAACCAUUCCCAGCCUGGAUCUAACAGCCUUACGUUGAGGGGAGCUUUACCUGUUGGACAUUUCCAGCUUUUAAGCCCACAUUCAGGUUCAUCUUCCAGAAUACCACGUAAGAAAGAGAGCCAACAACCCCAACCUAUUGCCUGUGCUCCAGCUGCAGGUUUGUUAGCCCAGCCAGCUGCAGCUCGUUAGCCAGAUCCCUCCACUGGCUCAGGCACUCACUCCUUGUACCUACCCUGAGUCAGGCUGCUCUUGGAGAGCUGAGAAAGGCUAUUUUGCUCUGUCAUUAACUGGAAAUUUCAGGAAAGUUUUGGCAAAGUCCAUCUGGCCUCCCUGCAGUGCUUUUUUUUUUUUUUUUUUAACCAAGUCAUGAUUUGGGAUGCUGCUAUGAUUAAUGGGGCAUGCAUUGCAUUAGCUCAUGUGUCAGGGCAAAUAAGUGGUGUCCCCAGUGGGCCAUCCCUGGCCUGUCACAUCUCAGCCUGUCUGAGCAGCCUGUUAACAUUCAGCAGGCUGCUGAAACCCGCUGGUGAACAAGGGGCGUUGCUGGCACUUUGGGACUUCCCAUCAAGAUGUGUUUGUUAAUCCAAAUUGGCAGAGCCAAAACAACAGGCACACAGCUGGAUCUAUCCUAAAAUGAAUGGCUCCUGUGGGAAAUGCAUGCACCCGCAGUGCUGGCGUUCUGUGCUGCAGGCCCUUGCUGCACUGCACUGGUGUGUGGGAAUAACAUGAACAUCCAUGGCAGCUCUUCUUUCCUUCCCCUCUCCAUCCUGUAUUUCACAGAAUCACAGAUCCAAAGUUCCAGUUUGUGCCCGUUGCCCCUUGUCCUCUUGCUGGGCAGUGCUGAUAAGAGCCUGGCCCCAUCCACGUGGCUCCUGCUCUUUGUAUAUUAUAAAUACUGAGAAGACCCAUUUCUCAGCCUUCUCCUCCCCAGGCUGAACAGUGCCAGUGCUCUCAGCCUUUCCUCAUCAGGAGGUGCUCCAGGCUUCUCUGCAGCCCUCCAAUGGACUCUCUGCAGCAGUUCCCUGCCUGCCUUGAACUGGGGAGCUCAGAACUGGGCCCAGUGCCCCAGAUGUGGCCACACCAGAGCAGAGCAAAGGGGAGAAGAGCCUCCCUCACCUGCUGGCCACACUCUUUGUAAUGCACCCAGGAUACCAUUGGCCUUCUUGGCCACAAGGGCACAUAGCUGGCUCACUGUCAACCAUUGGUCAACCAGGACCCCCAGGUCCUUCUCCACAGAGCUCCUUACCAACAGCUCAGCCCCCAACCUGUACUGAGGUGUUGUUAUUCCUCCCCAGGUGUAGGACUCCACCCUUGCCCUUGUUGAAGCUCAUCAGAUUCCUCUCCACCAAACUCUCGCACAUGUCCAUGCCUUGCUGAAUGGCCAUACUGGCACAUCAGCCACCCCUGCCAUCCACAUAUCACCAGCAAACCUGCUGAGGGUGAACUCUAUCCCUUCAUCCAGGUCACUGAUGAAGAUACUGAACAAGGCUGGGCCCAGUACCACCCCCUGGGGAGCACUGCUACCUGCAGGCCGCCCAGACUCUGCUCCCUGGGCUCUCCAGCAGCCUGGUGCUGCACACAGGGCUGCAGGCACUGCAUGGCACUGUUCACUGCUCACUGCCAGCGCCCUUGCAGCCAUCCUGCCUGCUGCUGAUGCCUUCUGAAUAUUCACACCUGUCCCAGAGAGCCUCCCCACCAAGUGAACAGCGUGCAGAUGGCUGCCUCCACCAGCAGCUCUGCUGUCACCAGCCCAGUGUUCCCAAAGCAAAUCGAUGACCUCUGCCUGCACAUCAGUCCCAGCGUCCAGGUGCUCGCCUUCAUUAAUCACAGUGCAAUCUCCGAGGUGGGAAGGCAAGGGCUAAACUUUUCAAAGAAUAAAUGAAAAGAGGAGUGGAGUAGAGAAAGUGACAAAUACAGGUCAUGUUGUACAGAUAUUAGAGCUGUAGAUGUAAAGGGAGGGAGCAGUAAAAAUUCAGGAGGCCCUCUAUCUCCUUCAGGAUGAGAGAAAAUACUUGUUUUGUUCCUUUUUUAUCAGGGUUGUGCUCCGUAUGGGUAUUACAGCAGGUGGUUUGGGGCUCUGUGCUGCUCAUUGUGCCUGAAGGAGUCAGAAGAAUGGAUGAAAGAAAGUCCUGAGAGCCCUUUGAUGAACCUAGAGGUCAUUUCCAGCCCAGUCCGUUCUGGGAGUCUCUCAUUCUAUGAAUUGCAAUGCUUAGCUACAACUUUCAGGUAAAAGAGUUAGGCAACGUCCUGCUGUUAAACACAGCAUCCUCCCCAUCACAGCCCCUCCCAGCAGCCUUAUGGGCUUCAGAGCUCGGUACCAACACUGAUAUCUGACACAUGGCUUUUAUUUCUCCUUUCAUCAUAGUACGUACAACAGGCUGUGGAUAAAACCAUUGUG
This 5820-nucleotide long non-coding RNA is filed under the name Gallus gallus (chicken). The record is from RNAcentral. Lineage: Eukaryota; Metazoa; Chordata; Aves; Galliformes; Phasianidae.